GACGGAGGAUGCAAGCGUUAUCCGGAAUUAUUGGGCGUAAAGCGUCCGUAGGCGGUUUCAAAAGUCUGUUGUUAAAGCCCACAGCUCAACUGUGGAUCGGCAAUGGAAACUGUGAGACUAGAGAGUGGUAGGGGUAGAGGGAAUUCCUAGUGUAGCGGUGAAAUGCUUAGAUAUGACAUAGAACACCCAUUGCGAAGGCAGCUUACUACGGAUAUAUUGACACUGAGGCACGAAAGCGUGGGGAUCAAACAGG
This 253-nucleotide ribosomal RNA is filed under the name uncultured bacterium. RNAcentral's name for it is "partial 16S ribosomal RNA". It matches the Rfam family "Bacterial small subunit ribosomal RNA", at positions 524 to 776 of the family's 1533-position model. The record is from RNAcentral.